AAACUUUAUGUCUCAGGUUCAAUGGAAAUAUAUGUCAAUCCAUCUUUUGUGGCUGAUCUUUUCUAAGUUCUCUAAAUGAACAUCAAGGUGGUCACUCUGUGAAAGUAUUAAGUGCUCACAGAAUCUGAGCUGAACUUCUGUCUACAGGAGCAUCAAAAGAUCACGAGAAGAUUCUCAUUCACCAAGAAUGCAUCUGUUUUUCUCAUUCAGCAGAAUAAUUCUACAAAGUCCCAAGAGACUCUGUCGAGGCAUAGAUACAAGCCAAAGAUCCUCCCAUUUGAACUGCUGGCUUCACCAAUUGUGGAGAAAAGUUUUGGAAUAACAAAAUCAAGAAGUUGGUACUUAGUCCAUCCUCCCUUCACAUAGGUCAGCCAGUGUGCUGGAAUUUUCAUUAACAUUCAUUAUUAUUUUCGUCUGGCCAAAUACACUAAGAGUUAAACAUGAUCACAUGCCUACUUCUGGCCAGUGAACUAUGAGCCAAAUCAUGUACUAUCUCUUCUACUGUUAUCUGUCUUCUCUUUCUCUGCUAAACUGGUCACAGAAAUUUAUGUUUAGAGGGAAACCCUAUAAGACCAAAGCAUCCUGGAACACAUGUACCACAUGGAGGACAGAAAUUCUGUAUUGCCUCCCAGAUCUGCAGCAGACUUUGAGUGAAUGAGAAACAAACUGUUAUUGAAUCCAAUUACUGGAUCAAGAUAUUGAUUUUUGUUUCUGCUGAACAACCUAAUCUAUCCUAAUAAAUAAACCUGGCACUUCCAAAGUGCUACAUCUAUCAGGAUUAUUCUUAUUCUAAUGAGUUUAUCCAAUGGAUCCGUUAGUAUGUCAGAAUAGGGGAGUAAAAAUACAUUAUUUCAUUGUAAAAUUUCUUUGUCUUCACCAUCUUUGGGGUUCUUUAUUAAUUGCAUUUCAUUACCAGGUAGAGAGACCAAUUAUCAGUUAAAACUCUGGCCCUACAUUGUUAACUUUUGAAGUUAACAGAAAUAUUUCUUAAUCAAUUUUUAGGAAGAAUUAUUUAAUCAUAUGUCAUAUAUCAUUUUUUUCAUCUCUCAGCUUUCUCCCAUUCCUCUAUAUAUCUAAGAUUAAGUAAAUACCAGCACUCCAUUAUACUAUUAUUUUUAAAACAUCCUUCUUUGCAUUUUUCUCCAAACUAACUUUAGAAUUAUUGAAUUAAAAAUUAUGUUCCAAUUUGAUGUAAUUGUGCUAAUUUCAUAUGGUACACCAGGAAUAGUAAAAUUUUUUAUAACAUUUAGCUGAAGUAUCUGGAUACAUGAUUCAUUUCAAUAAAUUCCUUUUCUUUAUUUAUCCCACCAAGAUGUUAUAGCUCUCUCUACAGAGAUCUAACAUACCUCUUCUUGUGUCUAUCCCUAGUUUUUAUAGAUAAUUUACUUCUGUUUUGAAUGGAGUCUCCAUUAUUGCUAAUGCCUUAAUUGGAUAAUUUUACCUUUGAUAUAGCUAAUGUUACUUUGGCAUUUUUUAUUAAUCUCUUACUGUUUACAAGAAUUUUCAUAGUAUCAGUAUCCAUAAUAGGUCAAAACUGGAAACAAAUCAAAUAUCCAGACAAAGAGGAAAGAAUAAUUCUGCUAUAUUCACACAUUGGAAUACUACAAUUAAAAAAGAGAAGUAAGCAGUGGUCCAUUCAAAUGCAUCAGGGGUGAAGAUGCCAAAUUAAAAGAGCAAAUGUUGUAUGAGUCUACUCACAUGAAAUUGAGGAACCGGCAAAAUAAUAUAGGUUGAUAAAAAUCAAAAUAAUGUUCUCUUUAAAGAGAGAUUGACUGGGAGACAAGAGACAACUUGUGGGUGAAGGAAAUAUACUGUAUCUUGAUUUGGAUAGUGGUUUCAUAGGUGUAUAUAUAGAAGCUAUGUCUUUGUAUCUAUUUUGCUAUAUGCAAAUUAUAACAUUAAAAUACACAUUCACACAACAAAGAAAAUUAAUUUAAUAGGAAUAGGGUGACAAUGACCAGGGUAGGGCAUGAGGGAAACUUCUGGGUUGGUGCAAAUAUUCUUGAUCUGAGAGGUGGAUAUAUGUCAACAUAAGUUACAAUUCAUCAAGCUGUAUGUAGUAAUUUUAUGGAUUUUAUGUGUUUUUAUUUCAAUAAAAAUAUCUUGAUGCUAAGAAG
RNAcentral lists this long non-coding RNA (2117 nucleotides) under Marmota monax (woodchuck). Lineage: Eukaryota; Metazoa; Chordata; Mammalia; Rodentia; Sciuridae. The record is from RNAcentral.